Molecule: ribosomal RNA, 444 nt
Filed under: uncultured bacterium
Lineage: Bacteria
Description: partial 16S ribosomal RNA
Rfam family: Bacterial small subunit ribosomal RNA
Source: RNAcentral
GUGAGGAAUAUUGGACAAUGGGCGCAAGCCUGAUCCAGCCAUGCCGCGUGCAGGAAGACGCAUCUAUGGUGUGUAAACUGCUUUUGUACGGGAAGAAACACUCCCUCGUGAGGGAGCUUGACGGUACCGUAAGAAUAAGGAUCGGCUAACUCCGUGCCAGCAGCCGCGGUAAUACGGAGGAUCCAAGCGUUAUCCGGAAUCAUUGGGUUUAAAGGGUCCGUAGGCGGUUUAAUAAGUCAGUGGUGAAAGCCCAUCGCUCAACGAUGGAACGGCCAUUGAUACUGUUAGACUUGAAUUACAAGGAAGUAACUAGAAUAUGUAGUGUAGCGGUGAAAUGCUUAGAUAUUACAUGGAAUACCAAUUGCGAAGGCAGGUUACUACUUGUGGAUUGACGCUGAUGGACGAAAGCGUGGGGAGCGAACAGGAUUAGAAACCGUGUAGUCC